Molecule: ribosomal RNA, 813 nt
Filed under: Xenoseimatosporium kurdistanicum
Lineage: Eukaryota; Fungi; Ascomycota; Sordariomycetes; Amphisphaeriales; Sporocadaceae
Description: Xenoseimatosporium sp. JA-2020c partial large subunit ribosomal RNA
Rfam family: Eukaryotic large subunit ribosomal RNA
Source: RNAcentral
GCCCUAGUAACGGCGAGUGAAGCGGCAACAGCUCAAAUUUGAAAUCUGGCCCUUGGGUCCGAAUUGUAAUUUGUAGAGGAUGUUUUUGGUGCGGUAUCUUCCGAGUUCCUUGGAACAGGACGCCUUAGAGGGUGAGAGCCCCGUACGGUUGAAUGCCUAGCCUUUGUAAAACUCCUUCGACGAGUCGAGUAGUUUGGGAAUGCUGCUCUAAAUGGGAGGUAAAUUUCUUCUAAAGCUAAAUACUGGCCAGAGACCGAUAGCGCACAAGUAGAGUGAUCGAAAGAUGAAAAGCACUUUGAAAAGAGGGUUAAAUAGCACGUGAAAUUGUUGAAAGGGAAGGAUUUAUGACCAGACUUUUUCUAGGCGAAUCAUCCGGUGUUCUCACCGGUGCACUUCGUUUAGUUUAGGCCAGCAUCGAUUUUCGGGGCGGGAUAAAAGCUUUAGGAAUGUAGCUCCCUCGGGAGUGUUAUAACCUAUUGUAUAAUACCGCCCUGGGGAUCGAGGUACGCGCUUCUGCAAGGAUGCUGGCGUAAUGGUUAUCAAUCACCCGUCUUGAAACACGGACCAAGGAGUCGAACAUUUGUGCAAGUGUUUGGGUGUUAAACCCUCACGCGUAAUGAAAGUGAACGGAGGUGAGAGCCCUUACGGGUGCAUCAUCGACCGAUCCUGAUGUCUUCGGAUGGAUUUGAGUAAGAGCAUAACUGUUCGGACCCGAAAGAUGGUGAACUAUGCGUGGAUAGGGUGAAGCCAGAGGAAACUCUGGUGGAGGCUCGCAGCGGUUCUGACGUGCAAAUCGAUCGUCAAAUCUGCGCA